RNAcentral lists this ribosomal RNA (501 nucleotides) under uncultured bacterium. RNAcentral's name for it is "partial 16S ribosomal RNA". It matches the Rfam family "Bacterial small subunit ribosomal RNA", at positions 30 to 523 of the family's 1533-position model. The record is from RNAcentral.
AUUGAACGCUGGCGGCAGGCUUAACACAUGCAAGUCGAGCGGAGAUGAGGUGCUUGCACCUUAUCUUAGCGGCGGACGGGUGAGUAAUGCUUAGGAAUCUGCCUAUUAGUGGGGGACAACAUUCCGAAAGGAAUGCUAAUACCGCAUACGUCCUACGGGAGAAAGCAGGGGAUCUUCGGACCUUGCGCUAAUAGAUGAGCCUAAGUCGGAUUAACUAGUUGGUGGGGUAAAGGCCUACCAAGGCGACGAUCUGUAGCGGGUCUGAGAGGAUGGUCCGCCACACUGGGACUGAGACACGGCCCAGACUCCUACGGGAGGCAGCAGUGGGGAAUAUUGGACAAUGGGGGGAACCCUGAUCCAGCCAUGCCGCGUGUGUGAAGAAGGCCUUAUGGUUGUAAAGCACUUUAAGCGAGGAGGAGGCUACUGAGACUAAUACUCUUGGAUAGUGGACGUUACUCGCAGAAUAAGCACCGGCUAACUCCGUGCCAGCCGCCGCAGUAA